RNAcentral lists this long non-coding RNA (1186 nucleotides) under Homo sapiens (human). Its description in RNAcentral is "YWHAH antisense RNA 1 (YWHAH-AS1)". The record is from RNAcentral. Lineage: Eukaryota; Metazoa; Chordata; Mammalia; Primates; Hominidae.
ACAAAGCCAGACCCCCAGGCGUGGGAAGAUGGAACCAGAACAAUUCGAACGAGCAGAGCAAAACAGAUCGGAAUUGCAGACUUCAGGUCGUGGCAGAGAAAACCAGCUGAGACAGGGCGCCACUUACUAGCUCUGAAAGUCUAGGAUAUUUUGCCACUGGAAGACCAGCAGACAAUGUCAUGACAACUCAAGAGGAUACAACAGGGCUGCAUCAAAAGACAAGUCUUUGGACCAUGUCAAGACCUGGAGCGAAGAAGGUUUCAGUAUCAACCUGACUUCUUUUGGAAGGAUCCCUUGGCCUCACGCUGGAGUGGGCACCUGCCCUAGCCCACAGAGCUGGAUUUCUCCCUUUCUUCAAUCACACAGGGAGCACCACUAUGCAAAGACCUCAUCACAUUCACAGCCGUCUCCGCAGAGCCUCGCACUGUGCUUGGCAUAUAGCAGGUGCUCAAUAAAUAUCUGCCAAAUGACUGAAUGCAUCUCGCUAGCCUCAGGAUGCCACCAGGCCCUGAGGGAGCCAGGAAGAUCAGAGGAAAGCUUUUGGAUUCCUGCCACACCUUACAUUAGCAACAUCUUCUCCGAGUCCUGACAGCCAGCCUCCUGGGACACCAUUCAAGCCAGCUGAAUUCCGGUCACCGCUUCACCUUGGAAAGGCAUCCGCAGCCCUCACCAAGCGGCCCCGUAAUUGACGUCACAGCGGGGCCAGGAGCUGCCCUGUUAAUAUUUAAUGUGGCCUUCACUGCGCAAAAUGCAGCCUCUAAGAGCUGGAGGGGCCGUGCAGAGUCUCCAUGGGGUUGUGAGGAGGGCACAGAAGGGAAAGGGCUUUAUAAACCAUAAAGCGCCCAACAGAUGAGCAUUCUGCCGACCCAUUUCAGUCCCUGGCUUAACUCAGAAAGAGCCGGGGCUGCACAUGCCUGCAGUGGGACAAGAAGACUGCUGACCAAGCCCGAACACUAAAUCAAUGGGGGAUUAGGGGCUCCUGGGUACAUUCCAUUGAGACAGCGGGAGAGCAGAGCACUGGUGCCAGCCCAACCUGGACUCCACUCCAGGUUUGCCCCCUGCACAGCUGUGUGACUGGGUCAGCAAGUGCACUGCUGAGCCUCAGUCCCCCUUAUCUGUGAAAUGGGAAUGAUGCUUUCCUUGUAGCACUGCUGUGAAGAUUCAAUGAAACGAGUGAUGCCGAAGA